Molecule: non-coding RNA, 595 nt
Organism: Pocillopora verrucosa
Lineage: Eukaryota; Metazoa; Cnidaria; Anthozoa; Scleractinia; Pocilloporidae
Source: RefSeq, a predicted model, not a curated record
UUGACAAUCCAUUUUGUAUGCCCAGGUUAACAGUUUGGGUUAUGAGCUAGUUUUAUUCAUAGGGUUAAGCAUUAAUUUUGAAGUUGCUAAUGGUGAGGAAAUCAGACUUGUUACUUCUGGGUCAGUUAAUGGCCUUCCUUAUUUUUACCACAGGUGACAUUCCAAGGAAAUGUCCCAGAUUUGCAGUCUGAUGGCGAACUGUCAUCCACACUACCAGAUGAAGAUCGAGACACCGGAAAUAAAAAUGAGGAAUUGCUCCCAGUACCUGGAAUUGUUCUUGCGCAAGCAGAGGAAGGACAGGAAGUACUGGUGGCCAAAAGACAAGUGAACACGGAAGAGGAGGAGAAGGUAGAAGAUGAAGAAGAAGAGGAAAAGAGGGAACAUAGAGAAGAAGAGGAGAAGGAACAUACCAGUAGUAAACUUGAAAGGAAAAGGAAAAAGAAGGACAGAAGAACAACAGCAAAAAGAAAAAAGGAAAAGGAGGACAGUUGUUAAAAAAAAGGAUUUUAAAGGGACCCUGGUCAGCUGCACUUUUGUUUUUGUUUACCUUUGGAUUUUCAAUUUUUCAGAAACUGAUGUACAAGUUGUUACUUUU